This 753-nucleotide long non-coding RNA is filed under the name Homo sapiens (human). RNAcentral describes it as "HSALNT0400306". Lineage: Eukaryota; Metazoa; Chordata; Mammalia; Primates; Hominidae. The record is from RNAcentral.
UUGUUGCAGCAGUGAUAGUUCAGGUGUUUCAAAUAAGCAAUCACUUAUUUUUAUGCUCUUGCAGGGACAGGUUAUGGUGAUUGAACGGGAUUUUCUUUUUCUUUUUUUUUCUCCUACAGGAGCCUCAAGAACAAAGGCCAUCAGAGAGGCCGUUUGCUGGCAUGGAGCCCCCCAGGACUCAUCAACCAUGGUUGAGGUUGACUGAAAACAGAGCAAGAGAGGCCCCCGCCUGUCUCAGAUGAGACUGGUGUUUUUUGCAAAUGGAUUACUUAAAGGUGUCUUGAAGGGGUAUGAUACUGCGAUAUGCACCUUUCACUGCCUGGAAUCUUCCUGAGUUUUGUCUUGGUCGAGCUGCCUUCCAUGUACAGCCCCCUCUGAAGAUGUUGGAAAGGAGGAGAAGGAAGAGGAAAGCAGAGGGGAUCGCCCCGCAGAGGCCAGCCUGCAGCCUGGGCUCCAUGCACCUCUGGCUGCUAACGGGAUCCACCUCGGGUCAAGAAGGUGCUGGCUCACACUUUCCUCAAGAUUUUAGAGAUGCAUGUAUCCCAGUGCAUGUCCUGGAAAGCCUUUAAAAUUCAGAGAAAACAAGCAAAGCUCUGGCUAAUUAAAUGUUUUCUGCUUACCGUUGUUAACAUAUUAAUGAAACAGGUUAAAUGUAUUACUCAGUGAUGAGGAAGCUCUUAGCUUCUAUGCACCCCUUUUUGAGAGGAUUUCUCCAAGUGGCAUCAGUGUUUACAGUGCACUGGCUUCCUGUUC